Molecule: ribosomal RNA, 253 nt
Filed under: uncultured bacterium
Lineage: Bacteria
Description: partial 16S ribosomal RNA
Rfam family: Bacterial small subunit ribosomal RNA
Source: RNAcentral
GACGAACCGAGCGAACGUUGUUCGGCCUCACGGGGCUUAAAGGGCGCGUAGGCGGCCUCGUCAGUCUGUGGUGAAAGCCCCCGGCUCAACCGGGGAAUGGCCGCGGAAACGGCGAGGCUCGCAGGGGGUAGGGGCGAUCGGAACUGCCGGUGGAGCGGUGAAAUGCGUUGAUAUCGGCAGGAACGCCGGUGGCGAAAGCGGGUCGCUGGACCCCCCUGGACGCUGAGGCGCGAAAGCGAGGGGAGCAAACGGG